CGAAUUCACCUACCAGAAACUUUGGUGUCCUCUACGACUCGCGCACGUACGUGUUAAUUCUUGUGGAAUUUUCCAUCAUUGAAAGCAACUUUAAGUAUUAGUUUGGUGUGGUUUGUGAAAUCUUAUCUUCUCUACGUUACAGCUUGCUUUUUGGUACAGAACAGUCGCAGGUAGUAAUAGAAUGACUCCAAGAACUUUCCUGGUCAUCCUGCUAUGUGUUGCCGUUGUCGGCAUGGUGGUCGCGGUCGUGAGCGCUGAAGGAGAGGAUGGUGCGCCCUCUAGCGGACUGCUGGAGAUGCUCUUCUCUCUUAAAACUAAGGACACUGGAGAAGAAGCUCGCAGAAGCGGAUGGCCACCUUGGCAUUGCCCCCCUAGAUGCGGAACUGGGCGUUGAAAGAGGAGCGGGUGGCAUGGCUUAUUUUUCUGGUGUUUUUUUUUUUGGGGGGGGGGUUGUGUUUUGUAAUUCCAUAUAUUCUAAUUCAAUUGCAUUCUUUAAAAACAAAUUGUACCUGAAAACUCUUGUACACGAUAGAAAUAUUAUGUAAACAAUGGUAUACUUACAAAGUUGUUAUGAUUAUUUUUAAUACAAAAACAUUGUCGUGUAAUCAGGGGAAGGGUUUUCGGAUAUAAUAAUCAGGAUAUUGAUGUAAUUAUUUAUUUGUGACAGCCCAUUCUUUUUACAGUUAAACUGUAUUAUAAAGAACUUUCAAGUGAGAUGAAGAAAGCGGUUUUCAUAGACAGGUGGUCUUUUAGUACGUGUUUCAAUAAAAAUAGAUAAUGCUGUCACUAUAGACAGGCCUUCCUUCUGUACAGGUGGUCGCUGAAGCGGGUUUCACUGUAAAUUGUAUUACUCUGUCGUACAUUACAAUGUAAAAUAGCCUAGUAAAUGGUUAAAGCGUGUAGGAAAUAAAAAAUCGAAUCAAUUGUAAUCAUAUAAGAUCAUAUCAAAUCAAAUUAUACAUAAAUCGAUUAGAGGAAAAAUGCAUUUAAUUAAAUCCAUGUGAUUUCUAUGUCCAACUCGAAUUUUAGUAUUGUCGUUUUCAGAACGUAAUAUUUUGUUUAUGAUGUACUCAUAUAAUCUCAAUUUAGAAAGUGUUUUAUUUGAGUUCUAUGCAGAAAGCUCAUUGAGUAAAGAAUCAC
Long non-coding RNA from Strongylocentrotus purpuratus (purple sea urchin), 1140 nucleotides. RefSeq lists it as uncharacterized. NCBI's taxonomy places the organism in Eukaryota, Metazoa, Echinodermata, Echinoidea, Camarodonta, Strongylocentrotidae. The record is from RefSeq and is a predicted model, not a curated record. The transcript has 3 exons.